Molecule: small RNA, 127 nt
Filed under: Marmota monax (woodchuck)
Lineage: Eukaryota; Metazoa; Chordata; Mammalia; Rodentia; Sciuridae
Source: RNAcentral
GCUGGGUUUGGUGGUGCUUGCCUGUAAUCCUAGUGACUGGGGAGGCUGAGGCAGGAGGAUUGCAAGUUCAAAGGCAGCCUCAGCAACUUAGCAAGGCUCUAAGUAACUUAAUGAGACCCUGUCUCUA